GCUUGGCGGCGUGCCUAAUACAUGCAAGUCGAACGAGUUCUCGUUGAUGAUCGGUGCUUGCACCGAGAUUCAACAUGGAACGAGUGGCGGACGGGUGAGUAACACGUGGGUAACCUGCCCUUAAGUGGGGGAUAACAUUUGGAAACAGAUGCUAAUACCGCAUAGAUCCAAGAACCGCAUGGUUCUUGGCUGAAAGAUGGCGUAAGCUAUCGCUUUUGGAUGGACCCGCGGCGUAUUAGCUAGUUGGUGAGGUAAUGGCUCACCAAGGCGAUGAUACGUAGCCGAACUGAGAGGUUGAUCGGCCACAUUGGGACUGAGACACGGCCCAAACUCCUACGGGAGGCAGCAGUAGGGAAUCUUCCACAAUGGACGCAAGUCUGAUGGAGCAACGCCGCGUGAGUGAAGAAGGCUUUCGGGUCGUAAAACUCUGUUGUUGGAGAAGAAUGGUCGGCAGAGUAACUGUUGUCGGCGUGACGGUAUCCAACCAGAAAGCCACGGCUAACUACGUGCCAGCAGCCGCGGUAAUACGUAGGUGGCAAGCGUUAUCCGGAUUUAUUGGGCGUAAAGCGAGCGCAGGCGGUUUUUUAAGUCUGAUGUGAAAGCCCUCGGCUUAACCGAGGAAGCGCAUCGGAAACUGGGAAACUUGAGUGCAGAAGAGGACAGUGGAACUCCAUGUGUAGCGGUGAAAUGCGUAGAUAUAUGGAAGAACACCAGUGGCGAAGGCGGCUGUCUGGUCUGUAACUGACGCUGAGGCUCGAAAGCAUGGGUAGCGAACAGGAUUAGAUACCCUGGUAGUCCAUGCCGUAAACGAUGAAUGCUAGGUGUUGGAGGGUUUCCGCCCUUCAGUGCCGCAGCUAACGCAUUAAGCAUUCCGCCUGGGGAGUACGACCGCAAGGUUGAAACUCAAAGGAAUUGACGGGGGCCCGCACAAGCGGUGGAGCAUGUGGUUUAAUUCGAAGCAACGCGAAGAACCUUACCAGGUCUUGACAUCUUUUGAUCACCUGAGAGAUCAGGUUUCCCCUUCGGGGGCAAAAUGACAGGUGGUGCAUGGUUGUCGUCAGCUCGUGUCGUGAGAUGUUGGGUUAAGUCCCGCAACGAGCGCAACCCUUAUGACUAGUUGCCAGCAUUUAGUUGGGCACUCUAGUAAGACUGCCGGUGACAAACCGGAGGAAGGUGGGGAUGACGUCAAAUCAUCAUGCCCCUUAUGACCUGGGCUACACACGUGCUACAAUGGAUGGUACAACGAGUUGCGAGACCGCGAGGUCAAGCUAAUCUCUUAAAGCCAUUCUCAGUUCGGACUGUAGGCUGCAACUCGCCUACACGAAGUCGGAAUCGCUAGUAAUCGCGGAUCAGCACGCCGCGGUGAAUACGUUCCCGGGCCUUGUACACACCGCCCGUCACACCAUGAGAGUUUGUAACACCCGAAGCCGGUGGCGUAACCCUUUUAGGGAGCGAGCCGUCUAAGGUGGGACAAAUGAUUAGGGUG
This 1486-nucleotide ribosomal RNA is filed under the name Lacticaseibacillus casei. RNAcentral's name for it is "bacterial SSU rRNA". It matches the Rfam family "Bacterial small subunit ribosomal RNA". Lineage: Bacteria; Bacillati; Bacillota; Bacilli; Lactobacillales; Lactobacillaceae. The record is from RNAcentral.